RNAcentral lists this long non-coding RNA (423 nucleotides) under Bos taurus (domestic cattle). RNAcentral's name for it is "long non-coding RNA NONBTAT023092". The record is from RNAcentral. Lineage: Eukaryota; Metazoa; Chordata; Mammalia; Artiodactyla; Bovidae.
GGUUUUUCAAAGAUGAUGUAUUUGUUAUUUUACAACAACUUGAUUUCAUUAAGUAGAGCAGCAGGAAUUCAGUUCAAAGUGUACACACAUUCAUUAUAACUUACAGCAAUAAAGGCCAGAUUCAACAUGGAUGUUCUACAAGAUAGAUAUAUCUAAUUUGCGUAGACAUUGAGGUCUCUUUGACACUGACUAAAAAGAAAACCAGAGCCUCUAUUUAGAACUGGAAGUUGAAUUUGGCAUAAGUCCAGGGACAUUUGCAAGAAACAAAGGCCCACUGAAAAGUACUAAAUUUAGAAGGGUCAUCUUGGACUUUUAGCUCCAGCUGUGUAUUCUGUUUACAUGUAAAUUAUUCAUUUAAUAGUGCUUUUUUUGUUUCAUUCUAGAAAAGAGAAAACAUGAAAUCAAUCUUACUUUAACUAUUUC